UUGUUCUGAGGUCGGAAAUGGUUCCCGACACACUCUGAAAGGAGUACCUGAGAUGAUGGAUACACCGCCCAUCCUUAACAG
This 81-nucleotide non-coding RNA is filed under the name unclassified sequences. The record is from Rfam.